UACGUAUGGUGCAAGCGUUAUCCGGAUUUACUGGGUGUAAAGGGAGCGUAGACGGUUGUGUAAGUCUGAUGUGAAAGGCCGGGGCUCAACCCCGGGACUGCAUUGGAAACUAUGUAACUAGAGUGUCGGAGAGGUAAGCGGAAUUCCUAGUGUAGCGGUGAAAUGCGUAGAUAUUAGGAGGAACACCAGUGGCGAAGGCGGCUUACUGGACGAUCACUGACGUUGAGGCUCGAAAGCGUGGGGAGCAAACAGG
This 253-nucleotide ribosomal RNA is filed under the name [Clostridium] nexile DSM 1787. RNAcentral's name for it is "Tyzzerella nexilis DSM 1787 partial 16S ribosomal RNA". It matches the Rfam family "Bacterial small subunit ribosomal RNA", at positions 524 to 776 of the family's 1533-position model. Lineage: Bacteria; Bacillati; Bacillota; Clostridia; Lachnospirales; Lachnospiraceae. The record is from RNAcentral.